RNAcentral lists this ribosomal RNA (217 nucleotides) under uncultured bacterium. Its description in RNAcentral is "partial 16S ribosomal RNA". It matches the Rfam family "Bacterial small subunit ribosomal RNA", at positions 328 to 539 of the family's 1533-position model. The record is from RNAcentral.
ACGCUCGACACCUACGGAGGCAGCAGUGAGGAAUAUUGGUCAAUGGACGCAAGUCUGAACCAGCCAUGCCGCGUGCAGGAUGACGGCUCUAUGAGUUGUAAACUGCUUUUGUACGAGGGUAAACGCAGAUACGUGUAUCUGUCUGAAAGUNUCGUACGAAUAAGGAUCGGCUAACUCCGUGCCAGAAGCCGCGGUAAUCUGAGCGGGCUGGCAAGGC